Molecule: transfer RNA, 69 nt
Filed under: Marmota monax (woodchuck)
Lineage: Eukaryota; Metazoa; Chordata; Mammalia; Rodentia; Sciuridae
Description: tRNA.Ala
Source: RNAcentral
GGAAGUAUAGAUCAGUGGUAGAGUACUUGCCUAGCAAGCAUGAUGCUCUGGAUUCAAUCCCCAGAACCA